AUCCGACUAAGGAGUGUGUAACAACUCACCUGCCGAAGCGAGUGGCUCUGAAAAUGGAUGGCGCUAGAGUAUCGGGCCUAUCCCCCGCCUCCGAGACGACGACUUCGGUUUACGUCUCGAAGAGUAGGAAGGUCGCGGCGUAGAGCUCGGAAGGGUCGGGGCGUGAGCCCAUCCGGAGCCGGCGUCGGUGCAGAUCUUGGUGGUAGUAGCGGGUGCUCGAGCGGGAACCUAGAGAAUUGACGAGGGGAAGGGUUCCGUGUGAACAGCCUUUGCACAUGGGUGAGUCGGUCCUAAGCCAAAGGAGAACUCCUGAGCCGGUCACGACGGCAAUCGAAACGUAGCCGCGUACAAGCUCUGGCGAGAGGGAAUCCCGUAGCGAUUCUGGAACCUGGUCACAGGUCGCUCGAUCCGUCGUCUUCGGACUUCGGAAAGAGGCACGUCGACGUGCCUUGCGACCGAAAGGCCGCGCGCCGCAAGGCGACGAGACCUGGGGAAGCCGACCGUCGCUCGACAGGCAGAGUUUUCUGUUCUGGCUGACGCCCCACCGUUCCCACGAAUCGCUCCGAGCGGAGGCAGGGACACGGGCGCGUCGUAAACACGCCAGAGCCCCGUGGAUUCUGCGGGGUCCCUCGGGAGGCGGGCGGACCGUGAAAACACGGGCGAACGGCGCAAGACUCUCCCGUGCCAGUGCGUACCGAACUCCGCAUCAGGUCUCCAAGGUGAACAGCCUCUGGGUCUAGCCGAAUGUAGGUAAGGGAAGUCGGCAAGACGGAUCCGUAACUUCGGGAUAAGGAUUGGCUCAAGGGC
RNAcentral lists this ribosomal RNA (807 nucleotides) under Conchoecia sp. OC-2001. RNAcentral's name for it is "eukaryotic LSU rRNA". It matches the Rfam family "Eukaryotic large subunit ribosomal RNA", at positions 1266 to 1960 of the family's 3401-position model. Lineage: Eukaryota; Metazoa; Arthropoda; Ostracoda; Halocyprida; Halocyprididae. The record is from RNAcentral.